AGCACUUCGUAUCUAUGCAUUAAUUGAUGUAACAUUUGUAAUAUGGAAGAAAGCAAAACAGCGUUACUGCAGAGACAAACAGUGACACCAAUAAUAGUAACUGAGAUGUAUGACAUUAAAUAUCCUCUUUGUUCACUGUCUAGUGUAAUUAAAUGCUGACAUUAAAAACCCCUUAAACACUUAUCAAAAUCUGAAUCAAAAAUGAAUUUGAUCUGAAAUCAUGAGACUGCUGUGAGGGAGGCGCUGCAUCUAUUAAAACAUGCUAUAUCAUUUUUCACCUACUGAGAACAAGAUUCUCAACUGCCCUCUGUGUAAAUUCCUGCUUAUAGGGAGAG
Molecule: long non-coding RNA, 335 nt
Organism: Sphaeramia orbicularis (orbiculate cardinalfish)
Lineage: Eukaryota; Metazoa; Chordata; Actinopteri; Kurtiformes; Apogonidae
Exons: 2
Source: RefSeq, a predicted model, not a curated record